AGCGGACUGGACGGUUGCGGGCAGUAUUUAUACUGCGUGAGGAAAGUCCGAGCUUCACAGGGCAGGAUAACGGCUAACGGCCGCCGAGGGUGACCUUAGGGAAAGUGCAACAGAGAUAUACCGCCGGAUUUAAUCCGGUAAGGGUGGAAAGGCGAGGUAAGAGCUCACCGGCGUACAGGAGACUGUACGGCCAUGUAAACCCUAUCCGAAGCAACACCGACUGGAGACACACGCUUGCCCGGCGUAUUUUCCGAAAGGUGGCUAAAGGGGCGCAGCAAUGCGUACCGUAGAUAGAUAACCGUCUUAAAAGACAGAACUCGGCUUACAGGUUCGGUC
Molecule: RNase P RNA, 336 nt
Filed under: human gut metagenome
Description: Bacterial RNase P class A
Rfam family: Bacterial RNase P class A
About the family: Ribonuclease P (RNase P) is a ubiquitous endoribonuclease, found in archaea, bacteria and eukarya as well as chloroplasts and mitochondria. Its best characterised activity is the generation of mature 5'-ends of tRNAs by cleaving the 5'-leader elements of precursor-tRNAs.
Source: RNAcentral